Non-coding RNA from Arabidopsis thaliana (thale cress), 466 nucleotides. NCBI's taxonomy places the organism in Eukaryota, Viridiplantae, Streptophyta, Magnoliopsida, Brassicales, Brassicaceae. The record is from RefSeq.
GUAACUUUGAGAGUUGGAAACAACUCUCCUCAUUCAUCUUAUAAAAUAUCAAAUCCAAGAAUCAAUUAGAUCUUGGUGACAACCUAAAGCUUCUUCCUCUCUUUACAUUCUUUGCACAAUAAAGCUCUUCAUGAGCUAUUCAAUUUCUCUUUCAAUAAGCUCAAUGAGCAUCAAUCUACUCUUGUCUUAGAAAUGUCAACACAAUAAAGAUAGUAGCAUUGCAAGGAUGAUUAAACUCAUUAAAGCGCACCCGCAGCUGCUUCCUGGUCUUAAUGUCUUCCUUCCAGAGGCUAACAAAGGAUUAUGCCAAUCUCAAACCAUAGGUUCCACAAGCGUAUCCCCGGAGCUACUUAAGGUUAAUGCGUCUGCAUACCUGGCUUCUGUGGAAGAAGCAUUUGAUGAUGACAAAUUAUUUUUUUCUCCAAACCAACUGAGGGAUAAAACUAAUGCACAACUUAACAGUUAA